RNAcentral lists this long non-coding RNA (440 nucleotides) under Scleropages formosus (Asian bonytongue). Its description in RNAcentral is "lncRNA (ENSSFOG00015027070.1)". Lineage: Eukaryota; Metazoa; Chordata; Actinopteri; Osteoglossiformes; Osteoglossidae. The record is from RNAcentral.
UCCACACACACACACACACUUUCUGAGCUGCUUGUCCCAUACGGGGUCGCGGGGAACCGGAGCCUAACCCGGCAACGCAGGGCGUAAGGCCGGAGGGGGAGGGGACACGCCCGGGACGGGACGCCGGUCCGUCGCAAGGCACCCCAAGCGGGACUCGAACGCCAGACCCACCGGAGAGCAGGACCCGGUCCGACCCGGUCCAACCCGCUGUGCCACCGCACCCCCCGGCCAAUAUCCAGUUCAUGGGAAAAGUGCCAGAUGAGAGGGGCUCCUGGGCGAUCAGCGGAGAUGCAGCAGGAGAUGGGCUGCCUGGCCAGGACAGCGACCGCAGCUCCAGAGGCAUCAUGGCAGCCUGCAGACUGUGCCCUUUGCCAAGGGGACGUCACCGUGGAAGUCAGCGGUUCGGUGAGACUCUGAUCAAGGACAUACGGAAGACCAGG